RNAcentral lists this ribosomal RNA (450 nucleotides) under uncultured bacterium. Its description in RNAcentral is "partial 16S ribosomal RNA". It matches the Rfam family "Bacterial small subunit ribosomal RNA", at positions 30 to 523 of the family's 1533-position model. The record is from RNAcentral.
AUUGAACGCUGGCGGCAGGCCUAACACAUGCAAGUCGAACGGACCUUUCGGGGUUAGUGGCGGACGGGUGAGUAACACGUGGGAACGUGCCUUUAGGUUCGGAAUAGCUCCUGGAAACGGGUGGUAAUGCCGAAUGUGCCCUUCGGGGGAAAGAUUUAUCGCCUUUAGAGCGGCCCGCGUCUGAUUAGCUAGUUGGUUGAGGUAACGGCUCACCAAGGCGACGAUCAGUAGCUGGUCUGAGAGGAUGACCAGCCACAUUGGGACUGAGACACGGCCCAAACUCCUACGGGAGGCAGCAGUGGGGAAUCUUGCGCAAUGGGCGAAAGCCUGACGCAGCCAUGCCGCGUGAAUGAUGAAGGUCUUAGGAUUGUAAAAUUCUUUCACCGGGGACGAUAAUGACGGUACCCGGAGAAGAAGCCCCGGCUAACUUCGUGCCAGCCGCCGCAGUAA